Molecule: ribosomal RNA, 378 nt
Filed under: uncultured bacterium
Lineage: Bacteria
Description: bacterial SSU rRNA
Rfam family: Bacterial small subunit ribosomal RNA
Source: RNAcentral
GACGGACGCUGGCGGCGUGCUUAACACAUGCAAGUCGAGCGGUAAGGCCCUUUCGGGGGUACACGAGCGGCGAACGGGUGAGUAACACGUGGGUGACCUGCCCUCAGCUCUGGGAUAAGCCUGGGAAACCGGGUCUAAUACUGGAUAUGACUCCAUGACGCAUGUUGUGGGGUGGAAAGCCUUGUGCGGCUGAGGAUGGGCCCGCGGCCUAUCAGCUUGUUGGUGGGGGAUGGCCUACCAAGGCGACGACGGGUAGCCGGCCUGAGAGGGCGACCGGCCACACGUGGGACUGAGACACGGCCCAGACUCCUACGGGAGGCAGCAGGUGGGGAAUCUUGCGCAAGUGGGACGAAAGCCUGACGCAGCGACGCCGCGUGA